GGGCACGACACCGGAGAGGGAGCCUGAGAAACGGCUACCACAUCCAAGGAUGGCAGCAGGCGCGCAAAUUACCCAAUCCCGACACGGGGAGGUAGUGACAAUAAAUAACAAUACGGGGUUCUUUAGGAUCUCGUAAUUGGAAUGAGUACAAUUUAAAUCUCUUAACGAGGAACAAUUGGAGGGCAAGUCUGGUGCCAGCAGCCGCGGUAAUUCCAGCUCCAAUAGCGUAUAUUAAAGUUGUUGCAGUUAAAAAGCUCGUAGUUGAAUUUCGGGGUUAGUAGGUUGGUCAUGCCUCUGGUAUGUACUGGUCUCACUGAUUCCUCCUUCCUUAUGAACCGUAAUGCCAUUAAUUUGGUGUUGCGGGAAAUUUGGACUGUUACUUUGAAAAAAUUAGAGUGUUUAAAGCAAGCUAACGCUUGAAUACAUUAGCAUGGAAUAAUGAAAUAGGACGUUCGAUCUUAUUUUGUUGGUUUCUAGGAUUGACGUAAUGAUUAAUAGGGAUAGUUGGGGGCAUUAGUAUUCAAUUGUCAGAGGUGAAAUUCUUGGAUUUAUUGAAGACUAACUACUGCGAAAGCAUUUGCCAAGGAUGUUUUCAUUAAUCAAGAACGAAAGUUAGGGGAUCGAAGACGAUCAGAUACCGUCGUAGUCUUAACCAUAAACUAUGCCGACUAGGGAUCGGAUGAUGUUAAUUUUUUAAUGACUCAUUCGGCGCCUUACGGGAAA
This 723-nucleotide ribosomal RNA is filed under the name uncultured Glomeromycotina. RNAcentral describes it as "SSU rRNA". It matches the Rfam family "Eukaryotic small subunit ribosomal RNA", at positions 373 to 1097 of the family's 1831-position model. The record is from RNAcentral. Lineage: Eukaryota; Fungi; Glomeromycota.